This 404-nucleotide ribosomal RNA is filed under the name Actinomycetes bacterium. RNAcentral describes it as "Actinobacteria bacterium partial 16S ribosomal RNA". It matches the Rfam family "Bacterial small subunit ribosomal RNA", at positions 355 to 776 of the family's 1533-position model. The record is from RNAcentral. Lineage: Bacteria; Bacillati; Actinomycetota; Actinomycetes.
UGGGGAAUUUUGGACAAUGGGCGCAAGCCUGAUCCAGCCAUGCCGCGUGAGUGAUGAAGGCCUUAGGGUUGUAAAGCUCUUUCACCGGUGAAGAUAAUGACGGUAACCGGAGAAGAAGCCCCGGCUAACUUCGUGCCAGCAGCCGCGGUAAUACGAAGGGGGCUAGCGUUGUUCGGAUUUACUGGGCGUAAAGCGCACGUAGGCGGACUUUUAAGUCAGGGGUGAAAUCCCGGGGCUCAACCCCGGAACUGCCUUUGAUACUGGAAGUCUUGAGUAUGGUAGAGGUGGGUGAAAUUCCGAGUGUGGAGGUGAAAUUCGUAGAUAUUCGGAGGAAAACCAGUGGCGAGGGCGGCUCACUGGUCCAUUACUGACGCUGAGGUGCGAAAGCGUGGGGAGCAAACAGG